This 253-nucleotide ribosomal RNA is filed under the name uncultured bacterium. RNAcentral's name for it is "partial 16S ribosomal RNA". It matches the Rfam family "Bacterial small subunit ribosomal RNA", at positions 524 to 776 of the family's 1533-position model. The record is from RNAcentral.
UACGUAGGGGGCAAGCGUUAUCCGGAUUUACUGGGUGUAAAGGGAGCGUAGACGGCGAUGUAAGUCUGAAGUGAAAGCCCACGGCUCAACUGUGGGACUGCUUUGGAAACUAUAUAGCUAGAGUAUCGGAGGGGCAAGCGGAAUUCCUAGUGUAGCGGUGAAAUGCGUAGAUAUUAGGAGGAACACCGGAGGCGAAGGCGGCUUGCUGGACGAAGACUGACGUUGAGGCUCGAAGGCGUGGGGAGCAAACAGG